ACUUUUAAUAACAGAUCUCUUAGUUCUAGCAUUAAUAAAGAAUAUAGCAAAAUGCAAUAAGUAGUAUAAAUUAUAGAAUUUAGUAAAUUAUUAAAUCUUUAAAUGCAUAUUACGCCUCUUAGUAUUCUAUAGAGUAUGCCUAUUUAAGCGUUAUUUAUACCCUUAAGCUUUGCUUAGUAUUAGGUAUUUAUCUUCUUCUUAGUAGUUAGACUCGCCUUAAAAUAAUUAGCAGCUAGUAUUUUAGUAUAGAAGCGCAGCAUAAGUCGCGAUUCUUGCUCUAAUACUUAUAUCUAGAAGCCUUUUUUUAACUUUUAACCUUAGAUUAGAUAGAGAUACCUACUAAACUUAAGCAUAUUAAUAAGCAGAGAAAAAGAAACUAAUAAAGAUUACUCUAGUAAUAGCAAGUAAAGCGAUAAUAGCUUAAAUUUAAAAUCUAGCUCUUUUAGAGUCUAAGUUAUAAUUUGCAGAGAGCGCUUUAGCAUUAGCAGCAGUCUAAGUUCUUUAGAAUAGAAUAUUAUAGAGAGUAAGAAUCUUAUAUAUAGUCGCUAGCCUUUGCUAUAUAAAGCCUCUUCGAUAAGUUGAGUUAUUUAGGAAUAUAGCUCUAAAUAGAAGAUAAAUUUCUUCUAAAGCUAAAUACUAGCUAGAGACUAAUAGCGUAUAAGUAGAGUAAUUAAAAGAUAAAAAGCACUUUAGAAAGAGAGUUAAAUAGCAUAUAAAAUUAUUAAAAGAGAAGCGCUUAUAGCUAGACUUAUCUAUAGUUGCUUAUCUAGACUUUUAUCUAGUAUACUCUUCUACGGGUAGGCUAGCAUUAGUUUAGGCAGUUAGAUAAAGAUCUCUAUUAUAUAUCUUCUUUUAGAGAGGCCUUAUAGAGAAGAUAAUAUAUAACUAGCCUAGACUAAGAUCCGCGCAUCUACUAGAAUGCUAGUAUAAUAGCUAUAAGCAGCUUAUCUUAAAAUAUAGACUAAGAAGUCUAAUAUCUAUAUAAGUAUUUAGAUAUUAAGCCUAGACGCGUAAUAAAAGUAAAUAGAGAUAGGAACCUUUUAGAUGCACUAUUAACUAAUCCUAAUAUCUUUAGAAGAAUUUAAGUAAGAGCAUAGCUAUUAGAACCUAAAAGAUAGUAAACUAUGCUUAAAUAGAGUAAAGCUAGAGGAAACUCUAGUAGAGGCUUAUAGCAGUUCUAAUAUGCAAAUUAAUUAUUAAAUUUAGGCAUAGAAGCGAAAGACUAAUUAAACUAUCUAGUAGCUAGUUCCUACUAAAGUUUUUCUUAGAAUAGUAAUAACGUAUUUAGUUUUAUAAGAUAAAGCGAAUAAUUAGAAGCCUAGAAGUUAAAACAACCUUUAUCUAUUCUUAAACUUUAAAUAUAUAAGAAGUUCUUAUUACUUAAUUAAAUAUAGAUACUUAAAUAUACUAUUACUAGUAGGCUAUUUUUAGUAAGUAGAACUAGCGAUAUAGGAUAAACUAAAUAUAAGAUUAAGAUACUAGAAUAUACGCUUAUUAGAUACUAUAAAAGAUAUUAGUUUAUCUAGAUAGCAGAACUAUAGCUAUAGAAGUUAGAAUUCGCUAAGAAGUAUAUAAUAACUUAUCUGCUAAAUAAACUAGCCCUAAAAAUAGAUAGCGCUUAAGCAUAUUAUCUAUACCUUGCUACUAAGGCAGAACUUAAGCCUUAGCAAGUAGGCAGGCGUAGAGGCUUAUAACGAAGCCUUAGAGGUAACUCUAGAUCAAAUAGUCUCUAGUAUAGAUCUUAGUAGUAGUAGCAAAUACUUAAAUAAGAACUUUAAGAACUAAAGUAGAGAAAGAUUCUAUAUAAAUAGUAGUUAGAUAUAGGUUAGUUAAUUCUAAGAGAUAGAGUAGUUCUAUUUUAAUAUUAGCGCUUAUACUAUGCUCUUAAAAGAGAAGCUAGUUAAUAUUUUAGUAUCUAGAUAUAGAUUCUCUGCAGCAACGCAACUAAGAGCAGAGAUCUUAGCAGAAGCUCUAAGAAGAGUUCUCUUUUCUUCUUAAUAGUCUAUUACCUUAAAAUUAGUUUAUCUAAAGCUAGAGUUUAAUAGCUAGAAAAGCGCUGCACUUUUGCAGUAUUUAGUACGCUCCUAAUAAGCCUUAAAAAUCUGCUUAAAGAAAUAGUUUUUAUACUAGGUUAUACUUAUAACUAUAGCAGGUCUCUAAGAUAAAAAGCCUCUAGUUAAUAGAAUAAUAUAGAUAAGAGAAGUUAGCAAAAUAGAUCUAUAACUUUAGAAAAAGAAUUAGCUCUAAAGGUUAGGUAUAUUAGGCCUUAGAGAGAAGCCUCUAGCGCAGAAGAGUACUAGCUGCAAGAUAGGCGCCUUUUAGCGCUAGAGUAUAGAUAUCCUUAGCAGGCUUUAGCUAUCUAGCGUAUGUUUAAUAACUAACUUAGAACUAGUAUAGAUAAGAGAAAUCUAACUAUCUAAUUAAAAUAUAGCAUUAUAAUAGCUAGAAAGUAGUAUUAACGCAAUAUAAUUUCUGCCUAGUACUCUAAAUAUUAAAGCGAAGAGAUUCGACUAAGCGCGAGUAAAUAGCGAAGUAACUAUAACUCUCUUAAGAUAGCUAAAUAUCUUAUUAUCUAAUUAGUAACGCGCAUAAAUAGAUUAAUAAGAUUUCUACUAUCUCUAUCUACUCUCUAGCAAAACUAUAGCUAAGAGAAUAGGCUCAGCCAAAUUAGUAGAGAAAGAAAACUAUAUUAAGCUUAACUCUAGUUUAAUAUUAUAAAAAGAUAUAGAGAGUAUAGAAUAGAUAGAAGCUUUAGCGCUAGUAAAAUACUACUACUCUUAUUAUUUUUUUACUUAUUUAAUAAAG
RNAcentral lists this ribosomal RNA (2805 nucleotides) under Parastagonospora avenae f. sp. tritici. RNAcentral's name for it is "eukaryotic LSU rRNA". The stretch from base 313 to 2805 matches the Rfam family "Eukaryotic large subunit ribosomal RNA", at positions 1 to 2533 of the family's 3401-position model. Lineage: Eukaryota; Fungi; Ascomycota; Dothideomycetes; Pleosporales; Phaeosphaeriaceae. The record is from RNAcentral.